AGCUCCAAUAGCGUAUAUUAAAGUUGUUGCAGUUAAAAAGCUCGUAGUUGGAUUUCGGGGCGGCCUGGCUGGUCCGCCGCGAGGCGAGCACUGGUCAGCCGCCCUUCCUCUCGAAAGCCCCGACUGCUCUUCACUGCAGUGGUCGGGUAGUUCGGGACGUUUACUUUGAAAAAAUUAGAGUGUUCAAGGCAGGCUCUCGCCUGAAUACAUUAGCAUGGAAUAAUGGAAUAGGGCUGCGUGGCUUGCUUCGGCAGGUCCUCGUGUCCUAUUUUGUUGGUUUUCGGGACCGCAGUCAUGGUCAAGAGGGACAGUUGGGGGCAUUCGUAUUCAGUUGUCAGAGGUGAAAUUCUUGGAUUUACGGAAGACGAACAACUGCGAAAGCAUUUGCCAAGGAUGUUUU
Molecule: ribosomal RNA, 400 nt
Filed under: phytoplankton environmental sample
Lineage: Eukaryota
Description: partial small subunit ribosomal RNA
Rfam family: Eukaryotic small subunit ribosomal RNA
Source: RNAcentral